RNAcentral lists this long non-coding RNA (454 nucleotides) under Prunus dulcis (almond). Its description in RNAcentral is "sRNA ncRNA". The record is from RNAcentral. Lineage: Eukaryota; Viridiplantae; Streptophyta; Magnoliopsida; Rosales; Rosaceae.
CAUAAACUGACAACACACCACAUAUAAUUCCCACUCCACUAACCGCUUGAGCAAAUAUUUUCAUGUACAUAUUCUUGGACUCUUUUGUUGCCUUGUCUUCCUCCGGGGUUUUAAUUUCCAGCUUAUCAGUGAAGAAACAAACAAUGCUCUUCUCUGAAAGCUCUUCAGCUAAUCCGAGAAGAAGAAACUGUGGAACCAACCAAAACAUGGUCAUGGAAAUUGUUUUCGUGUCCUUGUCGUCGUCCUCGAUCAAACCCUCACUCCUCACCACACCUAAUCUUCGGGUCUCCACUUUUGCAGCUGUGAUACAACACAGAGUUGCAAUUAUCUUUGACACAGCAAUUCCAAAUCUGGGAUCCGCAGCACACCAUUUUAUUUGGUUCGCCAAAUACGCUUUCAGAUACCCUUGGAAACAAAUUGGAAGGACAAUAAUAGGAACCAAUAAGCGCCCAAC